Molecule: long non-coding RNA, 11773 nt
Filed under: Brassica napus (rape)
Lineage: Eukaryota; Viridiplantae; Streptophyta; Magnoliopsida; Brassicales; Brassicaceae
Description: long non-coding RNA (BNAP_LNC024967)
Source: RNAcentral
CGAGAGCUAUCAUCUCUUGUUCAAGCCCAUCAUGGGGAAAGUGAUGGAAAUUUUCAAACCAGGUGCGGUGGUACUGCAGUGCGGCGCUGAUUCCUUGUCUGGCGAUAGGCUCGGAUGCUUUAACCUCUCCAUCAAAGGCCAUGCCGAGUGUGUCAAGUUCAUGAGAUCUUUCAACGUUCCGUUACUGCUCCUUGGUGGUGGUGGUUACACUAUCCGCAACGUUGCGCGGUGCUGGUGCUACGAGACUGGAGUUGCGCUUGGGAUCGAGGUUGAGGACAAGAUGCCGGAGCAUGAGUACUAUGAGUACUUUGGUCCGGACUAUACGCUUCACGUUGCUCCGAGUAACAUGGAGAACAAGAACUCUCGGCAGAUGCUUGAAGUGAUUCGUAAUGACUUGCUCCAGAAUCUCUCGAAGCUUCAGCAUGCUCCUAGUGUGCCGUUUCAGGAAAGGCCGCCAGAUACUGAGACUCCUGAGGUAAUGUUUUGGCUGCUUGCUUUACUUCUGUAGCUCAUUCUUUCUUGUGUGAGGUCAUUGAGUUUCUAAAACAGUUUAUUUUGCUACCAAUCUUAGUAUAAUAUAUUUUCUAAUUUAAACAGUUUAUUUUGCUAAAAAUCUUAGUAUAAUUUUUUCUGAUUUAAACAGUUUAUUUUGAUAAUUUUGUCUAAUUUAAACAGUUUAUUUUGGCACCAAUCUUAGUAUAAUUUUUUUUUCUAAUUUAAACACUCUAUUUUGCUACCAAUCUUAGUAUUAAUUUUGUGUAAAUUACAGGUAGAUGAAGACCAAGAGGAUGGAGAUAAAAGAUGGGAUGCAGAUUCUGACAUGGAUGUAGAUGAUGAUCGGUAUGUAACAUCAAUGUUUUUUUGUUUCCGUGACAGUAGAGUUGUUUAUACUUAAUUUGCUAUCGGAUUGUGCAGCAAACCUAUACCAAGCAGAGUGAAGAGAGAAGCUGUUGAAUCUGAUGCAAAGGACAAGGUAAGCCAAGAGUAUCUCUUAUUUGCCUUGGUUUCUCAAACAUUGUUAUAAACAUUUAAACUCAUAUUUGUUGAAUUAUUCUCUUUUAGUACUGAAUCUUCUCUGAGAAAUGUGCCAAAAACAAAAUAUUAUCUUUCCAUCAGUCUAAAAUUAAAGUUAAAUCUGAACUGGAGACGCAUUCACUCUGGCUAGGGAUCAAUACAUUUAGUCUAGUCAGAAUGGUAGUAACAGACGUGACAUGCUUGCUGAGCUGAAUCAUCUGUGCAUCUCAAUUCCUUAUUCUUUGUGAAUUAUCUCUGGAUUCUAAUGAGUUUAGAUUGUGAUUGGCUUGGUAUGUUGAAGAGGUUGAUUUAAUCAUAACGUGUUAAAUGCAGGAUGGAGUGAAAGGAGUGAUGGAGCGUGGGAAAGGUUUUGAGGUGGGCAUGGAGGAGAGUGGAAGCACCACCAAGGUGAAGUGAAACAAUAAACCCGAGAGUUUUUGAUUGAUACAUACUGAGAUUAAAACAAGUUGUCUAAAGUGGUUUGGUUUGGUUGCAGGUUUCAGGAGUAAACUCAGUGGGAAUGGAGGAAGCAGGUGUGAAAAUGGAAGAGGAAGGCACAACAAACAAGUCAGGGGGAGAUCAAGUGUUUCCUAAAACAUAAAAAGACUUUGGAGGCUUCUCGUGUAUCUUGUUGCCUUCCUAGUCUUUCUUAACUUUUUAGUUUGUUUAUUGAUAAUUGAACACGUACGAUGUUAUGUAUUUAGUCGUUGCAAAUGUGGCAUGUCUGAAUGACAAGACUGAGAUAAUUCUAUUUGUUAUGAAGUGUAUGGGGCUGCUUCUAUCAAACACGACCAAUUACAUCACAUAGCUAAAACUUUGUACUCUUGCUACGUUCUUCUUUAGUCCAUAUACAAAAUGGAGAAGAAUAUUUUUGGAUAAUGAUAGUUUAUUUAUCUAUAUAAUUAUAUCCCAAAAUAAAAUAAAACCGUGAGUCCCCCUCGUUAGGCAUGGGACAAAUCCGGAUAUCCGAGAAAUUUAGGUUAUCCGGAUCCGUUGGAUCUGUGAAUUUAAUAUCCGGAUUCUUGGUUUCCGGAUAUCUGGAUUUCGGAUAUCUAUGUCGAUAUUCUAUUACCCGCGGAUAUCCGGAUCCAGAUCCGUAAAAGUAAUUAAAAAUAAUAAAAAAUUUUAAAAUACUAAUAUUUUUAAUAUAAUACAUAAAUUAAACAUUUAUAAAUAUAUUUAUAUAUGUCUAUAAUAUUGUAAAAACUAAAAAUAAUAUUAUAAGAUUAAUUCAUGUAUAAAUAUUAACAUAUCAAAUACAAAUAUUAAUGAAAUUAAAAAAAUUAACGUGUUUUAAAAAUACGGAUCCAGAUCCGAAUAUCCAGACCUAAAAGUUAAGAUAUCCGGAUCCAGAUUCGGUUUGGACGGAUCCAAGAUUUUAUCAUCCGGAUUCGGAUCCAGACACUCCGGAUAUCCUAUUUUCGGAACGGAUUGGACCGGAUCUCGGACCUAAGUCCACUUCCUGGUAUUUAACAAUAAUUUUUGUCACAAGAAAAUAAAAGGUGUUACGAAAGUCAAAGAAAUAAGGCAGCCGUAUAUGUUGAAAAUAUAAAAGGAUGUAGGGCUCGCUGCACUAUUUGCACAGUGAAUUUCUCUUCUAUAUAUACGAACGUUUUCGUUCGUUGUAAAACAUCAUUCACUCUUCUCUUCUCUCUGAUAAUAAGAUUUCUAUCAGUAUUAAAUAUUCUACGGGUAUAAUAUUUUGCCCUUAUUUAAAUUCCUGUGAUACAAUAAAAUUCCACCUUUUUUGGUCAUCAGAUUAAUUGUAUCUUUAAUAUUGUACAUUUACUAACAAAAUCUUAUUGGUUUUAAGCAUGACCGGACCCGUAAUAUUUUAGGCCCUUAAACAUAUAAACUUUUUGGUCCAUUAACUAUUAUCUUUUGGAAAAUUUUAAAAAUGUACACAUUGUUACGAAUGUCAAAGAAAAAAAAGCAGCAGCCACCGCAAUUGUUGAAAAUAUAAAGAUGUGGGGUCCACUGCACUAUUUGCAUAGUAAAUUUUUUUCUAUAUAUACGAACGGUUUCGUUCAUUGUAAAACACACCUCAACCUUCUCUUCUCUCUAUAAUAAACUCUUUCUAUCAGUGUUAUAAAUUCUACGGGUAUAAAUUUUUACUUUAUUUAAAUUCCCUCGAUAUAAUAAAAUUCCAGUUCUUUUCAUAACACGUUAUCAGCACGAUCACUCUGCGAUUCGAAAUACAAAUGGCAAAAAUCGAGAAACUUCAGUUUCCGGCAUUGGAAGUAACUGGGACAAACUACACGGCAUGGGUUACAAACAUGGAGUUUCAUCUAGAUUCCGAGGAAAUACUCGGAACAAUAAAAGACGGCAAUAUAUCAACCUCUCAUGAAAAGGCUAAGGCCGUGAUUUUUCUGAGAAGACAUCUAGAUAAAAAUCUUACGCAUGAUUAUGCUAGAACCAAAGAUCCCUUAGAUCUUUGGAAAGCUCUGAAGGAGAGGUUUGAUAACCAAAAGAAAAUUACUCUCCCCCAUGCACUCGAUGAGUGGAAAAAUCUACGAUUUCAAGAUUUUGAAAAAGUGGAAACGUACAAUUCCGCUAUAUUGAGAAUAGCGGCGCAAUUAGAUUAUUGCGGUAAGCCUGUCUCGGAAGCAGAAAUGCUCGAGAAAACUUACCAAACGUUCCACAAAAAUCAUUAUGUUCUACAAGAACAAUAUAGAAAUUGUGGGUAUACGAGGUUCUCUGAACUCGCUGUGGCGCUUAUAAUAGCGGAGAGAAAUAAUGAACUCCUCAUUAAAAACCACAAUGCCCGACCCACGGGAACCAAAGCAUUUCCUGAGGUAAAUGCAACGGAUAUAAAAAAUCCGGAAAAAGGAAAUUAUUCCUAUCGUGGGCGUGGUCGUGGCCGUGGUCACAAUCGUGGUUUUGGUCGUGGUCGUGGUUAUCGAUUUAACCGCAACCAUGAAAGGAGUAACAACCCAAGAGGAAGGGGAUCCAACACAUGGAAUCGAUCUGAUCGGGUAAAAGGGAAAGAAACCCAAGAAAACCCUACUCAUAAAAAUGAGAACGUCUGUUACAGAUGUGGAUCGAAGGGACACUGGUCUCAAGUAUGUCGAACUCCUCGGCAUCUAUGCCAAUUGUACCAAGAAUCUAUUAAAGGCAAGGCAAAGGAAGUAAAUCUCAAUGAACACCUUGUGGGUACAACAUCGACAUACCUCGAAUCCUCUGACUUUAUGGGAGAUUUCGACGAGGCCACUCAUCAAAAUAAUUGAAGUGCUUGUACUGAUCAAGCUUAAUAAUGCCUAGUGAUGCCAUAAAAUAUUAUGUAUUUCACUUUCAAAAUAAUGUUGUAUUUCAAAAUAUCUAAUGUAUAAUUAUUGUGUACUUGUUAUUGAUGAAUAAUAUGUUUACUUAUGAAAGUUUAUUUUCUUUAUUGAUAUUAACUGUGUGUUACAGAAAUGGAUAAGAAAGCAAAUGGAACAACAACUAAACAAAUUGGUAGAGAAGUUUGCAUACCAGAUAGUGGCACAACGCACACUAUACUGAAGGAUAAGAGAUAUUUCUCUACUUUAAAGUCAGUAAAAAUGACUAUAAACACAAUAUCAGGUCCUACAGACCUGAUCGAAGGAAUUGGCAAGGCGAACUUUAUGUUGCCUAAUGGAACAAAGUUUUCCAUAGAUAAUGCCUUAUAUUCUCCAAAUUCUAAGAGAAAUUUGUUGAGUUUCAAAGAUAUAUACCGUCAAGGGUAUAACACUCAGUCUGCAACUGAGAAUGGAAAGAAGUAUUUGUAUAUAACUUCUGAAAAAUCAGGCAAAGGCCUUGUACUGGAAAAAUUUCCAGAACUUCCUUCUGGAUUGCAUCACACUUAUAUUGAUGCUAUAGAAUCACAUCUUGUGAUAAAAAGAAAUCCAGAAGAUGUUACAUUAUGGCAUGAUCGCCUUGGUCAUCCAGGCACUACAAUGAUGCGAAAAAUCAUUGAAAGCUCACAUGGUCAUUCAAUAAAAACCCAAGAUAUAUACCAAAGUAAUAAAAUGACAUGUGAUGCGUGUGCUCUUGGGAAAUUAAUCAUAAGACCAUCACCAACCAAAGUUGACAAAGAAUCACCAAAGUUUUUGGAAAGAAUCCAAGGUGAUAUUUGUGGACCAAUACAUCCACCGUGUGGACCAUUCUACUACUUUAUGGUAUUAAUCGAUGCAUCGAGUAGAUGGUCACAUGUUUGUUUGUUAUCAUCUCGAAAUAUGGCAUUUGCGAGAUUUCUAACUCAGAUAAUCAAAUUAAGAGCACAGUUCUCAGAUUAUCCAAUUAAAAGAGUUAGAUUAGAUAACGCUGGUGAAUUCACAUCCCAAGCUUUUAAUGAUUAUUGUAUGGUAUCAGGGAUUGAAGUAGAGCAUUCUGUUGCUCAUGUUCAUACACAAAAUGGUUUGGCAGAAUCAUUAAUUAAACGGCUGCAACUAAUUGCAAGGCCAUUGAUCAUGAGAUCAAAACUCCCAACCUCUGUAUGGGGACAUGCUAUUUUGCAUGCAGAAGCACUAAUUCGGAUAAGACCAAGUGCAUACCAUAGAUAUUCCCCAUUACAGUUAGCAUUUGGAAAAGAACCAAAUAUCUCUCAUCUAAAAAUCUUUGGUUGUGCGGUUUAUAUUCCAAUAGCACCACCACAACGUACAAAGAUGGGACCGCAAAGACGGUUGGGAAUAUAUAUUGGCUAUGAUUCUCCAUCAAUAAUAAGAUACCUAGAACCACAAACUGGUGAUGUGUUUACGGCACGAUUUGCCGAUUGUCAUUUCAAUGAGAAAGAAUUCCCAACUCUAGGGGGAGACAAUAAACAAGUAGGAAAAGAGAUCAAAUGGAGUGUACCAUCGUUAUUACACCUUGAUCCUCCUACGAAACAGUCAGAACUAGAAGUUCGACGUAUCAUGCAUUUACAAAAUAUAGCAAAUCAGCUACCUGAUGCAUUUGCUGAUACCAAAAUGGUAACUAAAUCACAUAUACCCGCUGCAAAUACUCCUGCUCGUAUUGAAAUACCACAAAAUGGUGGAACGGCAGUUGAUACACGUGAAUCAGGAACACGUUUAAAGCGCGGUAGACCUAUUGGUUCAAAGGAUAAACUUCCUAGAAAACGUAAGGAAUGUGAAAAGCAUGAUACUCCCAAAAUAACAGAAAAUAUUUUGGACGAAGAAAAUUGUGAAUCUAAUGACAAUAUAAAGCAUCUUGAAUCUGAAGGAAAUCAUGAGAUUUCUAUCAAUUACAUCCAUAAUGGAAAGAUAUGGAAACGAAAUGAGAUGGAUGAUAUUGAUGACGUUUUCUCAUACCUUUUAGCAAAGGAAAUAAAUGAAGAAAACGAAGAUCCAGAACCAAAGUCUGUAUAUGAAUGUCAAAAGAGACAUGACUGGAUAAAAUGGAAAGAUGCAAUUAAAGUCGAACUAGAUUCGCUUAACAAACGAAAUGUAUUCGGACCUAUUAUGCUCACACCCAAAGAUGUAAAACCUGUUGGGUACAAAUGGGUGUUUGUCCGAAAAAGAAACAAGAAAAACGAGAUUACAAGAUACAAAGCUCGUCUCGUAGCCCAAGGUUUCUCUCAAAGGCCAGGAAUUGAUUAUGAGGAAACUUAUUUUCCUGUUAUGGACGCAAUCACAUUUAGAUUCCUGAUGAGCCUAGCGGCCAAUGAAAAUUUAGAAAUGCGUCUCAUGGAUGUCGUUACGGCAUAUUAUAUGGAUCAUUAGAUACUCAUAUCUAUAUGAGAAUCCCAGAUGGAUUUAAAAUGCCAGAAAUGUUAAGUUCCAGACCUAAAGAGUUAUGUGCAAUAAAAUUGCAAAGAUCAUUAUAUGGGUUAAAACAAUCUGGACGAAUGUGGUAUAAUCGUCUCAGCGAACACUUAACAAAAGAAGGAUACACGAAUGAUCCUAUAUGCCCUUGUGUUUUCAUAAAGAAAACAACAUCCGGAUUUGUGAUAAUCGCGGUGUACGUUGAUGAUCUUAAUAUUAUUGGAACUCAAAACGAAAUCCAAAAGGCAUCAAACUAUCUGAAAGGAGAAUUUGAGAUGAAAGAUCUCGGGCAGACAAAAUAUUGUCUAGGAUUACAAAUUGAGCAUUCUCGAAAGGGUAUAUUUGUACACCAGUCUACAUAUACCAAACGAGUAUUGAAACGCUUUAACAUGGAUAAAGCAACUCCUCUUAGCACCCCGAUGGUCGUUAGAUCACUUAAUGUUGAAAAUGAUCCGUUUCGACCAUCUGAGGAAAAUGAAGAAAUACUUGGUCCUGAAACUCCAUAUUUAAGUGCAAUUGGAGCUCUUAUGUAUCUUGCAAAGCAUGUGUUGCUCAAACGAAGGAAGGAUAUAUCAAAAGCGAUAGAACCAAACAUAUACCUCCGAAGUUCUUCUCAUACACUCAAGAGCUCGAGAAGAAUAAAGAGAUUGAAGUAAGAUAUGUUCGAUCAUGCGACAAUGCAGCCGACCUCUUCACAAAAUCACUUCCUACCUCGGUAUUCAGAAAACACAUCCAUAACAUUGGAAUGCGUCAUCAGAAGGAUCUAUGACUGCUUAUUCGAGGGGGAGCUUACGUAGUUGUACUCUUUUUACCCUACUAUGGUUUUUCCCAUUGGGUUUUCCUGGAAAGGUUUUUAACGAGGCAACAAAGACGUUAAGCGAGAGCGGAUAAUGACACCGGCCCCCAAGGGGGAGUGUUACGAAAGUCAAAGAAAUAAGGCAGCCGUAUAUGUUGAAAAUAUAAAAGGAUGUGGGGCCCGCUGCACUAUUUGCACAGUGAAUUUCUCUUCUAUAUAUACGAACGUUUUCGUUCGUUGUAAAACAUCAUUCACUCUUCUCUUCUCUCUGAUAAUAAGAUUUCUAUCAGUAUUAAAUAUUCUACGGGUAUAAUAUUUUGCCCUUAUUUAAAUUCCUGUGAUACAAUAAAAUUCCACUUCUUUUCAUAACAAAAGGUAAUUAAUAGAUAGCUGAAGUUACCUGGGCUUAAUUCUCUAGUAGGACUCUAAAACUGUGACAGCAAAUCCGCAAUAGAGUGUUGGGCCUAUCUUAGACGGCCCAAUGGUCUCUAGCAGGACUACGAACGAUGAUGGCAAAUCCGUAAAUAAUGGGAAACUAAAAGGGUAGAUUAAGCGAGAGGAAGUAAUAAAAAAGACAAAAAAAAGGAAAAAGACGUAACUCUCCCUAUUGUUGUCGGAGAGAAGGCAAAGGUGUAGUUUGGCAUCAUCGCCCUCAAAGAAACCUAAUCUCUACCUCUUCUGCCCCUUCUGUAAUUCCCGAUCACACCCUUCUCUCUUCCUCCACCCCCUCCUUUACCCAUCAUCGAUUUCUUCUUCUUUUAUUUUUACCCGCCAAAUUCAACUUCCCAUCUCCAACGACUCAUUUCCCCCAAUUCGAAACCCUAGAUUUCUGAUUCCCGGUGGCUUGGAUCUUCUCUUUUCUCGCGUUUCAGAUUUUGAUCCUCGUGAGUUCUCUGUUUCUGCAGUUGAAUUCGUUCUAGUCUCUGCUCAGUUCAGAUCUUUCUGUUAGUUAUCUGUUACACUCAUGAGCUGAUGAUGAUAUGACUAAUUUAACUUUGUUGAAUUUCAAAUUUUUUUUUUAUUUUUUAAAUCUCGCAUAAGUUAAUUGCUCGUCUCUGUUAGAUUCUGUUCACUAACUCUUAGUUUUAUAAUCUAUUUUUUGUAGCUUCAUAUUAUGCACUAGGUAAAAAGCUCUCACUCUCUUUCUCGUGUUGAUCUUAUUGGGUCUUUAAGUCUUUUGGGUUUUGAACAUCAUACACACUUUCAAUUAUUAAUAUCUUUCGUUAUGUCUAUGUUUUGGAUGAUUAGAUCUUUGUUGUCUUUUUUUCUCUUUAUUACAGGUACUGAUAACGCAAAAGAACUAGUUACCUCUUCACGAGUGGGGGAUAUAUCAAAAGCUUGCUUCUACAAUGGCCAAUCGCGAUUUAAUGCUAGGACAGAACCACAACAUCGGUAUAACCCAAGAUCAAUCACUGGUCCUCGGUCACAACCACACUCUAGAACUUGGUCAAAACCACGACAUGGGCUUAGAACAAUCUCAUCACGGUGAUCACCAACUUGACUUAACACAUCAACACGAAGAAGAUCACGAGCUAGGCUUAGGAGUACACAACGAAAACCAAGACGAAGAAGAACAUCACCACCAUCAUCACGAUUACAUGAACGAGAACGAACUCUCAAUUGAUCAAAAGCCUGGACACGAAGACGAAGACGUUGAUCCAGAGAACCAAAUGUUCUCCUUAUCCGGCACCAACGAGAACCUCGAGCUAGCCAUCGACUCAACCCACGAGAUCGAAAUCGACCACCACGGCGAGAUGGUAAUGGUCACCACCCCCGUCCAAGCCCGCGCCCUCUCCGCCGAGUCAACCUACCAGCUAACCGUCGGGCAAGAGUUCCCAGACGUCAAGAGCUGCCGCAGAGCGCUAAGAGACAUGGCCAUCGCUCAGCACUUCGAAAUGCAGACCAUAAAAUCAGACAAAACACGAUUUACAGCCAAAUGCUCUACCGAAGGAUGCCCGUGGAGAGUCCACGCAGCUAAGCUCCCGGGCGUCCCGACGUUCACGAUCCGUACCAUCCACGAAAGCCACACCUGCGGAGGGAUCAACCACUUGGGCCACCAGCAGGCCUCCGUCCAGUGGGUGGCCACCUCCGUGGAGCAGCGUCUCCGCGAGAAUCCCAACUGCAAACCUAAAGAGAUUCUCGAGGAGAUACACCGCGUCCACGGCAUCACGUUAUCCUACAAGCAAGCGUGGCGCGGUAAAGAGAGGAUCAUGGCCACCAUGCGCGGCUCAUUCGAGGAAGGCUACAGGCUACUCCCUCAGUACUGCCACCAGGUCAAGAGGACGAAUCCUGGAAGCAUCGCUUCGGUAUACGGUUAUCCGUCCGACGACUGCUUCCAGCGUCUCUUCAUAUCCUUCCAAGCUUCCAUCUACGGGUUCCUAAACGCCUGCCGCCCGCUUAUUGGUCUAGACAGAACCUAUCUCAAAAGCAAGUACUUGGGGACGCUGCUUUUAGCGACCGGGUUCGACGGAGACGGCGCGUUGUUUCCGUUAGCGUUUGGGAUUGUAGACGAAGAAAACGACGAGAACUGGAUGUGGUUCUUGUGUGAGCUUCAUAAUCUUCUCGAAACCAACACCGAGAACAUGCCGAGGCUCACUAUACUAUCCGAUAGACAGAAGGGGAUAGUCGAAGGAGUUGAGCAGAACUUCCCAACGGCCUUUCACGGCUUCUGCAUGAGGCACUUAAGCGAGAGCUUCCGUAAGGAGUUUAACAACACGCUCUUAGUUAACUACCUCUGGGAAGCGGCUCAAGCUCUUACCGUGAUUGAGUUUGAAGCUAAACUACUUGAAGUGGAAGAAGCUUCUCAAGACGCUGCGUACUGGAUCAGACGUAUCCCUCCGAGGCUGUGGGCGACUGCCUACUUCGAAGGGCAAAGGUUUGGACACUUGACGGCUAAUAUAGUCGAGUCGCUGAACUCGUGGAUCGGCGAAGCGUCCGGGCUUCCGAUUAUCCAGAUGAUGGAAUGCAUCAGGAGGCAGCUGAUGACUUGGUUCAACGAAAGGCGGGAGACCAGCAUGCAGUGGACUUCGAUCCUCGUCCCAAGCGCCGAGCGCCGCGUCGCCGAGGCGCUCGAGCUAGCGAGGACACUUUAUUCCUUUUGUCAGACGUAUGCUGGUGGCUCUGUUGGUGGUUCUGUUAAGCUGAACCAUGGGCUUUGUGAUAUUGCUAUUAACUGGGCUGGUGGUCUUCAUCAUGCUAAGAAGUGUGAGGCCUCUGGCUUCUGCUACGUUAAUGAUAUCGUCUUAGCUAUCCUGGAGCUGCUUAAGCAACAUGAGGUUUGUCUCCUCCCUACUUACAGCUUUCUCCCAUAUUUAAAAUAACGAUUUAUACGAUUCAAACCAUUAUAGAACAUUUUAAACCGGUUUAAACUGUCUAAAUCGAUCUAAACUAGACUAAAUUUGUUAAAUUAACUAACAAUGUUAGUAUAAAUCCACAAAUUUGUAUAAUCGUCUUUUUUUUUGUAUAUCUAAUUUGGUAAUAGACCAUUCUAAGCCGGUUCAGACCGUUAGAAACCAUACUAAACCGGUUUAAACCGUUCUAAAUCGGUUUAAAUCAAUCUAAAUCUGACUAAAUUUGUUAAAUUAACAUACAUAUCCACAAAUUUGUAUAGCUUCUUUUGUUUUGUAUAUCUAAUUUUGAUAAUUCAUAAAACAAUUUUGUAAUUAAAACCAAAAAAAAACUAAAAUAUCUUAUAUCAGUGUAAAAUAUGUAUAAAAUAAAUCAACUAUUAGUAAUAAUCUGUUCUUUGCAAACAUUGUUGAACAUAAUCUAAUGUAUUUGUCUUUCUUCUUGUUUCUCAGCGUGUUCUGUACGUUGAUAUCGACAUUCACCACGGGGACGGAGUGGAGGAGGCGUUUUACGCCACCGACAGAGUCAUGACCGUCUCAUUCCAUAAGUUCGGAGACUACUUCCCCGGUACAGGCCACAUACAAGACAUUGGCUACGGAAGUGGAAAGUACUAUUCACUCAACGUACCACUGGACGAUGGUAUCGACGAUGAGAGCUAUCAUCUCUUGUUCAAACCCAUCAUGGGGAAAGUGAUGGAAAUUUUCAAACCAGGUGCGGUCGUACUCCAAUGCGGCGCUGACUCCUUGUCUGGCGAUAGGCUGGGAUGCUUUAACCUCUCCAUCAAAGGCCAUGCCGAGUGUGUCAAGUUCAUGAGAUCUUUCAACGUUCCGUUACUGCUCCUUGGUGGUGGUGGUUACACUAUCCGCAACGUUGCGCGUUGCUGGUGCUACGAGACUGG